UAAAGGAAGCGAUUCCGGCUACGGAUGGUCAUGCGUCGCAUUAGCUAGUUGGCGGGGUAACGGCCCACCAAGGCGACGAUGCGUAGGGGUUCUGAGAGGAAGGUCCCCCACACUGGUACUGAGACACGGACCAGACUCCUACGGGAGGCAGCAGUGAGGAAUAUUGGUCAAUGGCCGCAGGGCUGAACCAGCCAAGUCGCGUGAGGGAUGACGGUCCUAUGGAUUGUAAACCUCUUUUGUCAGGGAGCAAAGGGCGCCACGUGUGGCGCUUUGCGAGUACCUGAAGAAAAAGCAUCGGCUAACUCCGUGCCAGCAGCCGCGGUAAUACGGAGGAUGCGAGCGUUAUCCGGAUUUAUUGGGUUUAAAGGGUGCGCAGGCGGAAUGUCAAGUCAGCGGUAAAAUUUCGGGGCUCAACCCCGUCGUGCCGUUGAAACUGGCGCUCUUGAGUGAGCGAGAAGUAUGCGGAAUGCGUGGUGUAGCGGUGAAAUGCAUAGAUAUCACGCAGAACUCCGAUUGCGAAGGCAGCAUACCGGCGCUCAACUGACGCUCAUGCACGAAAGCGUGGGUAUCGAACAGGAUUAGAUACCCUGGUAGUCCACGCAGUAAACGAUGAAUACUAACUGUCCGGGCAGAAUGAUGCCUGG
This 644-nucleotide ribosomal RNA is filed under the name uncultured bacterium. RNAcentral's name for it is "bacterial SSU rRNA". It matches the Rfam family "Bacterial small subunit ribosomal RNA", at positions 202 to 842 of the family's 1533-position model. The record is from RNAcentral.